AGAACGAACGCUGGCGGCAGGCUUAACACAUGCAAGUCGAACGCGUGUAGCAAUACACGAGUGGCGCACGGGUGAGUAACGCGUGGAUAUCUGCCUUUUGGUUCGGAAUAACCCCGGGAAACUGGGGCUAAUACCGGAUGGUUCCUACGGGAUAAAGAUUUAUCGCCAAAAGAUGAGUCCGCGUACGAUUAGCUAGUUGGUGAGGUAAUGGCUCACCAAGGCGACGAUCGUUAGCUGGUCUGAGAGGACGAUCAGCCACACUGGGACUGAGACACGGCCCAGACUCCUACGGGAGGCAGCAGUGGGGAAUAUUGGACAAUGGGGGCAACCCUGAUCCAGCCAUGCCGCGUGAGUGAUGAAGGCCUUCGGGUUGUAAAGCUCUUUUGGCGGGGACGAUGAUGACGGUACCGCAGAAUAAGCCCGGCUAACUUCGCGCCAGCAGCCGC
Molecule: ribosomal RNA, 446 nt
Filed under: uncultured bacterium
Lineage: Bacteria
Description: SSU rRNA
Rfam family: Bacterial small subunit ribosomal RNA
Source: RNAcentral